UACAGAGGGGGCAAGCGUUGUUCGGAAUUACUGGGCGUAAAGGGCGCGUAGGCGGCCUUCUAAGUCGAACGUGAAAUCCCCGGGCUCAACCCGGGAACUGCGUCCGAUACUGGAAGGCUUGAAUCCGGGAGAGGGAUGCGGAAUUCCAGGUGUAGCGGUGAAAUGCGUAGAUAUCGUAAGGAAGACCAGUGGCGAAGGCGGGUCUCUGGACAGUUCCUGACGCUGAGGCACGAAGGCCAGGGGAGCAAACGGG
Molecule: ribosomal RNA, 253 nt
Filed under: uncultured bacterium
Lineage: Bacteria
Description: partial 16S ribosomal RNA
Rfam family: Bacterial small subunit ribosomal RNA
Source: RNAcentral